UGCAGUCGAGCGGAUGAAGGGAGCUUGCUCCUGGAUUCAGCGGCGGACGGGUGAGUAAUGCCUAGGAAUCUGCCUGGUAGUGGGGGAUAACGUCCGGAAACGGGCGCUAAUACCGCAUACGUCCUGAGGGAGAAAGUGGGGGAUCUUCGGACCUCACGCUAUCAGAUGAGCCUAGGUCGGAUUAGCUAGUUGGUGGGGUAAAGGCCUACCAAGGCGACGAUCCGUAACUGGUCUGAGAGGAUGAUCAGUCACACUGGAACUGAGACACGGUCCAGACUCCUACGGGAGGCAGCAGUGGGGAAUAUUGGACAAUGGGCGAAAGCCUGAUCCAGCCAUGCCGCGUGUGUGAAGAAGGUCUUCGGAUUGUAAAGCACUUUAAGUUGGGAGGAAGGGCAGUAAGUUAAUACCUUGCUGUUUUGACGUUACCAACAGAAUAAGCACCGGCUAACUUCGUGCCAGCAGCCGCGGUAAUACGAAGGGUGCAAGCGUUAAUCGGAAUUACUGGGCGUAAAGCGCGCGUAGGUGGUUCAGCAAGUUGGAUGUGAAAUCCCCGGGCUCAACCUGGGAACUGCAUCCAAAACUACUGAGCUAGAGUACGGUAGAGGGUGGUGGAAUUUCCUGUGUAGCGGUGAAAUGCGUAGAUAUAGGAAGGAACACCAGUGGCGAAGGCGACCACCUGGACUGAUACUGACACUGAGGUGCGAAAGCGUGGGGAGCAAACAGGAUUAGAUACCCUGGUAGUCCACGCCGUAAACGAUGUCGACUAGCCGUUGGGAUCCUUGAGAUCUUAGUGGCGCAGCUAACGCGAUAAGUCGACCGCCUGGGGAGUACGGCCGCAAGGUUAAACUCAAUGAAUUGACGGGG
This 864-nucleotide ribosomal RNA is filed under the name Pseudomonas aeruginosa. Its description in RNAcentral is "bacterial SSU rRNA". It matches the Rfam family "Bacterial small subunit ribosomal RNA", at positions 56 to 918 of the family's 1533-position model. Lineage: Bacteria; Pseudomonadati; Pseudomonadota; Gammaproteobacteria; Pseudomonadales; Pseudomonadaceae. The record is from RNAcentral.